RNAcentral lists this long non-coding RNA (6724 nucleotides) under Homo sapiens (human). Its description in RNAcentral is "HSALNT0330055". Lineage: Eukaryota; Metazoa; Chordata; Mammalia; Primates; Hominidae. The record is from RNAcentral.
GUGUGCAUAUAUAUGUGUGUGUAUAUAUAUGUAUGUAUCUGCGUGUGUGUAUAUAUAUAUAAUUUAAUCUUCACCACAACCCUCAAAAGUAUGUAUAAUUAGAGCUGAAUUAGGUGAGACUUUAGAUCUUAUUCACCAUUGUUUAUCCAUCUCCUAGUAUAGUAUCUGGUGAAAAAGCACUCAUUACACACUUAUGGAGUGAAAGAGAAAAUAGAUUUCUACUUUGCUGAUGAUAAAACUGAGGCUUAGAGAAUUUGUGUCAUCUUUCCCAGUAUCAAUCAGCAGACCCAGGACUUGAAUGCAGGUAUGUCUGACAUAAAAAUAUAUGUUAUUAAGAGCAAACUGACGUACAAUACAAUAAUUUUUCUGUACAAAGUUAUUGGACAUAUACUUUGGAUCUCAUAUUGCCUAUGAAUAUUCUAAUAGAAUGAAACUUUGGUAUUAUCUCCAUUUUGUAAAAUUAUGUCGAUGUUCUAGAGCAGGGAUCAGUAAACUCUUCCUGUAGAGGGUCAGAUGAUAAGUAUUUUAGCCUUUGCUGACCAUACAGCCUUUGUCCCAGCUACUCAAUUCUUCCAUUGUAGUAUGUGGACAUGGCUGUAUUCUAGUGAAACUCUAUUUACAAAAUCAAGGAGUAGCCUGUAGACCAUCAUUUGCUGACCCCUGUUCUAGAAGAGUACCGGGAACCUAAUAGAGGUCCAAACAGUAUUAAUCGUCUAAGUGAGUGGCUGCAGUAAGUGCUAGAGGGAAGCUCACCUCACCAGAAGUGGUUAAGUGGGGAGGUGGGGCCUUGGUAGGAUGCUGGCAGGUAGAGAUGGGUGGCAAUGGCUUUCCUCAUUGGAGGCAGAGUCUUGUGUGAUGUUAGGAGGCAAAAGUAUGCGAGGAAGGUGGCAUGUUGUUUUAACAAGUGAGCUGGAGAUUAGAGAUGUAAUGGAAUGAAUGUUUGACAGCUCAUUAGAGUCCUCACACAUAGCCAUAUCCCUUCUAAUCAGUGUCUGUCCAAUAGUUCACUCAGUAGUUAUUUUAAAAACAUUUAUUAUAUAUUAGGCACUGUGCUAAAAAACCUAGGUAUAAAAUAUUUAAAAAUUAAAUGUAGACCCUGCUCUCACAGAACUUGCCUUCUAUUGGGAAUAUAUACGUUAAAAAACACACGUGAAUAUGAAUAUGAAACCUGUUAAAGAAGGAAGAUCCUUUAAGAGAAUAAAGUACAUGUUCAUUAUGAAAAUUUUGACUGUACAGAAAAUUCUAAAAGAGAAAAUCAAAUUUACUUCUAGCUGUGCCAGAGACAGUCAUUAUAAACAUUUUUGAUGUGCUAUAUUUCCUUCCAGGCUCAGUGUGUGUGUGUGUGUGUGUGUGUGUGUGUGUGUGUCAGAGACAAAGAGAGAGAUGAAUGGAGAAUGCUAGGAUUCUAUGCAAAACAACAUCAUCUAUAGGGUUUGUUUGUUUGCUUUUGCCCCAGACACAAACUGUUAGCAUUUUUCUAUGAUAUUCUAUAGUUGAACCACAAUUUUGCCUGUUGCCUAAUAAUGAAAGUUUAGAUUAUUUCCAAUAUUUGCUAUACUAAUUCUGAAAUAUAUAAAUAAUGUAUUUGGUUAUGUUAUAGACUCUAAAUCAUGUCUUUGGUUAUGUUUUAGAACAAGUUUCUAAAAGUAGCUUACUGGGUUAAAUGGUAUGAACAAUUAUGUUUCUAGAUGAUAGGACUAAAUUACCUUCUAAAAUGGCUAUCCCAAGGAAUACCUUUGUAAUUACUGUAGGCGUUUUCCACUUUUGUUCUAUCCAUAUUUUGCUUCCACCUCACAUUGUCACAAAUUUUCAAGGUGCUUAAGUUUAUCCUAGGAAACUUAUGUGGGGUGAAGAUCAGAGAAAAAAUUCUUAAAGAUACAGCCAUUGAAUUUUAAUUUGAUCCCAUUGCCCUUCUACCCCGCAAAGCUCCAGGUACUUCGACCCUUUCUGAGAGGAGAGGCAGGCUCAAUUCUCAGCCUCUGCCAUUAAGCACAUGGGUGAGUAGUUUGUACCCUGGGAUUCAGUUGCCCACCUAUAUUAAAUAAAAUUACUUUCAUGGUUCCAGGGCAUCAUUUGUAGAUGAGUAUAUGGAACCUGGUGACCCAGAAAUGUUAAUUUUCUUCAAACUGAACAAGUUUCUAAAGGCAAGAUUACUGGAUUAAAUGGUAUGAACAAUUAUGUUUCUAGAUGAUAGGAAUAAAUUUCCUUCUAAAAUCGCUGUUCCAAGGAAUACCUUUGUAAUUGCUAUGGCCCUUUUCCACUUUUGUUCUGUCCAUAUUUUCAGUGAGCGAUUUUUAGUCCACUUUCAAAGUAUAUUGGCUGUCUGCAUUUCAGCAGUCUUUGGGGGUUACAGUUGGGAGUCGGUGUGAAAUCUCAAUUCAUUUAGCCUGAGUAUUUAUUUAGAACAUUCUUCCUCUUUGAAGUGUCUUGGGUUAUUGAAAUAAAAAUAUUAAGCUCUUUGAGGCAUUUUUUUAAUUUAAAAAAGUUUAUACAAUAUUUUAAAAAUUAUACGCAGGAUAAGCACAUAAAAUUUAAAGGAUGGAUGGAUGGAUGGAUGGAUGGAUGGAUGGAUGGAUGGAUAGAUGGAUGGAUGGGCAGUUGAAUGGAUAAAUAUUUGUGGUGGUUAGUAGGUGACCCAGUUGCCUUCUCAGAGGACUAAAAGUGUUAAAGCAUCUUCUAGAAACUCCAAGUUUCAAUGGAGAUUUGGGGGUGCAAUAUUAAAAUCUACUUUUCAUCCUCUUCCUCUUCUGUCUUGGAGCCAAGGGUAGGUGGGAUUAAUUAGAGUAGCGCAGAUCUGUAGGGACAUGCAAACUGGAACUCAUCAAUGGUGCCAGUUUAAAAGGAGAAGAUAUGACAGGCAGAGAAGAGCUUCCCUAGAACCCUGAACUAUCAGAAGAGAUUAGGACAGUUUAGUGUUUCCAGCUGACAUAUCCUGCAAUGACUAAUUUCUAAUCCCUUUUCCUAUUCUGUAGGAUUAGCCUGGGUGAAACUGACAUACUAUGUUUUAGAAGUCAAGACCUUCUGGUCACUUAAUAGGAUAUAGAGGGAAAGUUUUGGGUGCAGUUCCAUUUGUGAACAAGAUGUAUUUUUCUGUAGGUUCUCUGACCCCUUCUGGGGUCAGAGAUCAGAAACUUGGUAAGCACCCACCAGGACCUACAAAUCUCUGUGCACUGUGGAAAAAAAAAAAAGCAAAAGCAGUCUGAUUAUCGUAUUGUACUUCAGCUGGCAACAUGCUUACUCAGUCCUCAAGCUUCCUCAGCACAAUUUGAGAUGGAAAUUUUCUGAUCAGAAUUUUUCCUAUAAGUCUUAGAAACUUGGAUUUGAGCCCAUUAUGUAAGCCAGGGUUUUUUUUUUUUUUUUUUCCAAUUACUUGACAAGCAGGUUGCCUUUGAGUCACUCAUAUGAAUGGCCUUGAUGUAGACAUUGGCACAUGCUGAAAAGGCAAAAAAAAAAAAAAAUUUACUUUUCUUUGACCCUUUAAGAAGAUUAGUCUGUUCACAGUUUUCUCCUGUGCUUAUAAACCUUCAUGUUUCCUGCCUGUCCUCUCAUCUUUUAAGUCUCUCCUAAUUGAUCUUCAAAGCAUUGAGGCUGGCUUGUGCUGGGUCCUCACUACUCCAGGCCAUUCCUGCUUCCCCUUCCCUGGUACCUGCAAGGCCUGCCUCCAGUCCACAUUUUCCUGUGAAGUUUUUCCUGAAUUCCUCAAGUUGUUUGAUCACCACAGCAAUCCUAUGAGCUUAUAGAUAUUUUCCCCAUUUCACGAAUGUGGCAACUGAGGUCCAAGUUCAGACAGCUAGAUCUAAAGACACAGAUCCUGCACGUCAUCUCCCCAACAAGACAGACACUCCAAGAAGGCAGUGACCACAUCUUUCCCUCUAGUUUACCAUACAAAGGACAGUAGGGUUCUUGGCACACAGGUGCUUAGUAAUGGUUUUUGAAUUUGAUUUCAAUUUGAGAGUAGAUUAACAGCAUUUCUGUAGUUAGGAGAGCAGCCAGUUACAUAUUCUUUUCUUGGGAGUUUAGACUUGCAGGUCCCUCUGAAUGAGGUAAAGCCAGGUCCUCCUACCCCAACUAAAGUUUAAAGAUGCAGGGGAGAUGUCAAAAGAUGUGAUCUGAGAUUUCUGCAAUCACUUGGAAACUGUACUGGCUAAUUAAGAUCAUAAUAGAUUAUUUAUUCUUUCAUUCACUCGUGUUUAUGCGUGUGUUCUUUCACUCUUUAACCAUUCAGCAGGUAUUUACUGAGCAACUGAAACUUCAUUCAUAUUAUAUGAGUUAUUACAUGAUAAUAUCAAUAAGAAAAAUUAUGUGAAAGUUUAUUAAUAUUGGCUAUGAGGGGGAUGAAAGCAGCAAGCCAAAAAAAAAAAAAAACAAUGCUGUAUUUUAAAGAAAGUCAAAGGUAGCUUCAUCCAUGAUAAAAAGGGCCCAGGGAAAAUGUAUACUUAAAAUAGCAUGAUGGCUUUUGUUUUACCUGUUUGUGUGGACCUGUAAAACGUUUUAAGAUGAGAGCUAUAAAAGGAAAAGCAGGAUGGUGGUGCCACAUCACAAAGCAAUUUUAAUCUGCUAGAUACCUUGAGAGGAAACCAUAGUCCAAGAUAAAGGUAAAAUCACUAGAAAAAUUGUUUUCCUGAUUUUUGUGUUUUUGCUCUUAUACCUUUUGGUUGAAUCUCUCCAAUAAGAUGGAAAAACACUUAAUAGUGCUAAAUACCAUAUUUUCUUCAUCUCUCCAAGGUAAACUUCAGAUAGAAUUUCUUUUUUUUCCCUACACAAAACUGUCCUUCAUACUACCUCCUUUCCCUGAUGUUCUAAUCUAUACAUAGGCCACGUUCUACUCUCUGAUGUAGACAAGCAAGAGACUUGGCACCUUGAAAUUUGAAUAGAAACCCAAAGAGCCCAUGUUGUUGAGCUGCUAUUUAUGUCCUGUUCAUUUACAUGGUAGUUUUGUGAUAUUCCUUGUUGCUUUCACAGAAAGGUUUCUCAGGCUAUUUCAUACCAACAUGAACUUAUCUGGGGGGUUUGCCACGCUUACUGGCUCUUGACUCCCUCUUUUUUUAAAACUUUUAUUUUAGGUUUAGAAGUACAUGUGUAGGAUUGUUAGAUAGAUAAGCUGCAUGUCACAGGGGUUUGCAACAUGCACAUUAUUUGGUUACCCAGGUAAUAAAUAUCUUACUCCCUCUUAACCAUCAAAACAACUGAUCAAACAAUUCAGUUGUCUUUGGCACUGCUGAUAGUUUUCAACUCUUAAGAAUUGCCCCUUCCUCUUGCUUUUAAAUUAGUUCUUCAAUAAACCAACUUCUCCAAACAGGUUGAUACAUUAGCAGCUAAAUAUUAGGCAAGGAAGGAGUUAUGUAAAAUAGUAAUGUCAUCUUAUACUUGUGGGAGGGGUUUUGUAUUUCUGCAAAGCAUUUUCACAGCUCUUAUCUACUCUGCUCAACAAAUAUAAAGAGUAAAUUUCCUUUAUUCUCAUUUUUUCAGUGAGAAAACUGAGAUCCAGUGGAGUUAAUCAACUUGUCUAUGAUCACAUACCUAGUUUAUGGUGGAGAAAAGACUGAGGUUUAGAGACUGAUUCAUAAAACCGAGCUCUUUCUAUGAUAUUGGAAUAUCAGAUAAAUCAAUAAACUCCCAACUAGAUGAAAUCUUAUAGUCUUGGAAAAAAGUGCAUCUGCUUGCUGACUCUCUGUAAGACACUGACCACUAACAUUUUUAGAACAAGGUUCUUUGGGUGGAACAACUUGGUGUGCUUUACACCUUUGAUUUUGGGGCUUGGGCAUGGGUUGUGUCUCAUUCCUAAAGUCACUCAUUGUUACUCUUGCCAAGUGGAAGAGUCUCUGGAACCACAUUCCUGGACAGUGGUGCAAGCCUUAAAGCACUAGGGUUUGGUGAUAAUAAAGACAUAGAGAAGCCAGUGGAUUUACUUUUAUGUCAUGGCUGUAUAUUGCGCUCAAGUAUCUAACUCACAGAUAUCUACCAUUUGGAAUGAGCAAGAAAAUAGGUAAGAAAAACAAUGGAUUGAUCAUCACCAACACCAUUCUGAUCCCCAGAAACUAGUCACUAAUUUACUAGUGACUAGUAAACAACAUUUACUGAGUACUGUGUGUAUUUUUUUUGCCUCAUUUCCAUUUUAUUAUGUAAGCAGUGAAAUCUUUGAUAAGAAGAUGGGCUCAUUACUUAAAUCCUCUAACUGCAGUUGCCCCUAUGUAAAGUUAAGACAAUAGUAGUAACUACUUUCCAUGGUUGUUGUGAGGAUUAAGUGAGAUAAUACUUGUACAUGGCUAGUUCAGUCCCUGACACAGAUUAAACAUUCAGUGAGUAGUUGGUUGUUUUUAGUAGUUUUAGAAGACUUAAGUGGUCAUAAGUAUUAUUUGCACUGGACCACAUACAUUUUUACCCUCCCAACCCUAGAGUUUAGAAUUAUAUGAAAAAAGUAGUCAAGAAAACAGACUCUGGAGAUGACUGGGUUUGUAUCCUGGCUCCACCACUUGCUAGUCCUUGGGCAAGUUAUUUAACCUCUCUAAGCCCAGGUGCCUCAUCUGUAAAAUAAAGAUAACAAUGCUUAACCUCAUAAGGCUAUUGUAAGUAUUAAAAGUGACGGUGCCUGUAAUGUGCUCAUGACAGUCCCAGGAAAAUAGUAGGUAGUAAUUGCUAAAUGUUAAGCUGUAUUUUUAUUAAUGUUAGUACAGUUGGCUGGGCAUGGUGGCUUAUGCCUGUAAUCCCAGCACUUUGGGAGGCC